Molecule: long non-coding RNA, 1013 nt
Filed under: Ovis aries (sheep)
Lineage: Eukaryota; Metazoa; Chordata; Mammalia; Artiodactyla; Bovidae
Description: lncRNA (ENSOARG00000026344.1)
Source: RNAcentral
GCAAGGCUGGGAGGCACAUGGGGAGCCGCCUGCAGAGAGGACGCCCCUCACGGGUGACCCCCUGACGCCCCUGGCUCAGCCUGCCCGCCUGCCCCUCUAGGAUCCAUCUCCUUGCCGAGAGGCCUCCUGGAGACCCCCGGGCACCGUGGUCCCCAAACAGCACCCACAAGCCUUGCCUUCCGCAGCUUAACCAGCUCUGGCCAUCAGCACGAGGCCCAUGGGAGCUGGGGGGUGGGCGAGCUUCCCCCUCAUCCCGCGGCCCGGCACCUUUCCUUUGGGUCAAAGUCCAGGAGCCCAAGGCUGGACACUGGGAAUCCUCUGGCCUCGAGUUCUCAGCCCUGGAGAGCGGGGUUGAUGCCUCCUCCCAUCAAAGCAAAAAGCAGAGGAGGUGGCAGGCGGGGUGGAGGGGACACUCACCCAUGUAUGUCUUCCAGAAUUCAUCCUGUCCGAGUUAACAUCAGAGUGUUAGAAAUCAAAAACCUGUUCUCCCACCUUCUCCUGCAGCUGAGCUUGAAGGUGGCUCAGUGGUAGAGAAUCGCCUGCAGUGCGGGAGAGGCAGGCUUAAUCCCUGGGUCAGGAAGAUCCCUGGAGGAGAGCAUGGCAACCAUCUCCAGUAUUCUUGCUGGGAAAUCCCGAGGCCAGAGGAGCCUGGCGGGCUGCAGUCCAUUGAGUCGCAAGAGUCGGACAGGACUGUGGGACUGAACAGCCACCCCAACGCGUGCUCCGCGUCCUGUUUGGUGUGUAUUUGCUGUGACCCACUUGAGGAAGGGAGAGUGUCAGUAGCUGAGACGCAGCACAGAUCCCACGGCCUCCCGGGCGCCUCCCGUCCUGGUGGUCUCCAGGACCCCACUUCGCAGAGUGCCGGAUGCAGAUGUGAGAAAUUCCCACCCCUUUUCCUGUUUUAUAAGCCAGUUCAGCAAGGAUGGAAGUUUGUAAAUUGCGUAUGGGAGGCGUUGUGUUCGGGCAGGGCAGCUAAAGGUGGGAGACCCCUCAGGCUUAAAGCCUGGAGGUAA